GUACUUCCUGUGCCUGGCACAAAGCCUGGGUCCGCCAAGAGCUCAAAGCUGUUUCUCCCAGCUCUGGCAGAGAGUCUGGGGUAAGGGGAGGAGCCCAGGAGACCCGGGAGGAAGCCGCCUUUCCAUUAGUUUCCUCUCAUGAGCUGAGUCUUAAUUAGCAUGGAGCUGGCUAAGCAAAGGUGUGGUAUGGAGAAACAAAGAGCUGAUCAUCUCUGGUGGCCUAGAACAAACACUAUUCCUGCCUCAGUUCACUGAGGCAUGCGCUACCAUGCCAGGUUCAUGUCUUUUUACGUUCUUGUUUGAGACAGGACCCUCUACACAUCCCAGGCUGGCCUUGAACUCACUGUGCCCAAGAAUUACCCUGGACUCCUGAUCUUUCUUCCUCUGCCUCCCCUGCACUGGGAUUGCAGGCAUGUAUCACCACACUCAUUUAUGCCAUGCUGGGGAUUGAACUUUGGGCAUCUUGCACACCAGACUACCACUCUACAACUGAGCCACCCCCCCAGCCCUUGCGUCUCCAUUUCUUACAUCAUGCCUUCUUUAUUGAACCAAGGAAAACACUCCAAACUCAAAUCCAAUUCUGAGCUUAAAAAUCUGCUCUAAAAAUGUGGUAGAAGUAAUACUGGAGAGAAGAAAGGUUGAUAAGUUUUUAAUUUGUUUAUUUUGUUUUUAUGUAUGUAUGUGCAUCUCCAUCAGUUUUUAUGUGUAACCGCAUCUGUGCAGGUGCCCGCAGAGUCCAGAGGGCAUUGCAUCCCCCGGAGCUCGAGUUACAGGUAGUUGUGAGCUGCCCUGUGGGUGCUGGGUACUCAGUUAAGUGCUCUUAGACACUGCAUUGCCUCUUCAGCUCCCAAAUGAUAUAUAUAUUUUUAAAUUAUCUUUUUAUUUUUUGAGAUUACACUGUAAUUACGUUGUUUCUCCCUUCCUUUUCCUACCUCCAAACUCCCCACAUACCUUUGUGCUCUUUCAGAUUCGCAGUUGCAUUUUUUCAUUCAUUGUUGCUACAUAUACAUACAUGUAUAUGUAUACAUAUAUGAUAUGCAUAUGCACACGUAUGUACAUACAUCCUUCUAAAUAUGUAAAUACAACCUGCUCAGUCUGUAUAAAGUUAUGUUGCAUUCAUGGUUUUGGGGCUGACCAUUUGUUGUUGGAUAACCAAUUGGUGUGUUCUUCCUAAGGAAGACUAUUUCUCCUGUUUUCCACUUUCCUUAGCUGCCAUAGGGCCCAUUGAGGGCUCCUGUCCACAUUAGCAUGUCUAUUGCUGACCCUGAUCAGCUCCAGCUUAGGCAGUACAGUCCCAACUGAGACAGCUACAAAACAACUCCCUCGCCUGAGGCUCAGGGAUCACUGAGGAAAGGAAGGGAGGCAGAACCCUUUUAGAGCCAGAGGAUCAAGGAGUCCGCUGUGUGACUGUGUCUCCUAGGACUGUCAAAAGCUACUCCCAGAAAGUCUCACCUACAUGAUGCCUAAUGAUGUUUUCAAACCAAAACGAAGGUGGAGGGAGCCUGCUGGAGAAGGAGAUUGCUCAGUGGUUAAAGCAAUAACUGUGCAAACUGAGGAUCCGUGUUCAGACGCCAGCACCAUAGAAAAAGGUGUGGGAUAUAGGCUUCUCCAGAUUGUCCAUAGCCGCGGACUGUGAUUUGCCUCGUGCUCUAGCAGGGGUAUGGGUUUUGCCAGCUACUGAUUGUGACAUUUGGAAUUCUGGGAACUCUUGAGAGGGUAUACAUUCGAGAGCGCCAAGAGGGCCUACGGAGCUUGCUGCCCCCCUGCCAUUGCUGGUUUCUAUUGCUGCUGUUUGUCAAGUGGUCAUGAGCAAAGAGACAACAAGAGGAAAUUGGGUAUCCUGAUGACGAUGGUUACACUUGCCUGUAAUCAACAGGAAGCAGUCUAACGAGAUCUAAGCCCCUUUCUCCCUCUAGCCUUUCUCACCUACCUGGUGUUGGAAAUUGGAAGGGAUCCGGAUGGAGAAGGGUGGUAGAUCUAAGAAUACAAUGAGUACGCCUACAUAGCACCUGUCAGGGAACCCCAAGCAUGACGUGGACGGCCUUUGAUUGUAAUCUGAUGACGGAAAACCACCAGGAACCUCCAGAGCAUACACAAGAUGUUUAAAAUGGCCAUGCCCUUUCCCUGCGACUGGGGUUUCAGGGGAGAUCUCUAGACAUCAGUUGGCUUCCACUAGGGAAGAGAGACAGACCUUGAGCAGUUGGUAAUUGUGCGGCAUUCUUGCACCUUUGCUGGCAGACGCUUCCACUGGGUUUUUGUGUGCCUUCCUCUUCCCCUGUUCUCAAGCUUGCUCUCCUGCCUUAAUCUAAGGCUCCUAUGCAAUCUUCAUCUCAUCUCCUCUGCAAAGCUUACUUAACAACACUUUAGCAUCUUUGGCACACAGAGGUUGCAUGUGACAUUCUUUUGGACAACAGGGUAGUGAAGAAACGCCAGCAGCCUUUGCCGCCCUGUCCCCUCUGUGUCCCAGCAGAGGACCGGAUGGCUCAAGUUGGUGCAGCUCUUUUCAACCAUAAUGCGUCAAGCAUUGGAGUGUCUGUGGGAACGUCUGAGAUACUGGUCGUGAUGCAUCUGAGUCAGUCCUGUCAGGCGAGAACCAUCCACCCCGACCUACUUUAGCCACUGGGAAAUACUUUUUAUUAGUUACAGCCAAAUCUUUUCAGACACAAAAUAGAACAUAAAUCGCUUUUCACACCACUACAUCUACUCUUCUGUGACACCCUUUUAGUAUCUACAUUGAUAGCACUCUCCAAGGGACUUAAUUACAAUUCAACUUGUGGUCUAUAUGACUUUUUCCAUUGUAUCCUCUUAGCAAAGGAUGGAAAUUUUUUUCAUACACAAAAAUUUGUAUAUAUAUCCAUAAUUGUUUUCUUAGGAUAAACUACUGCAGAUAGAAUUUCUUAGCUAAAGGGUUUAAAUCCCGUUUAGACCAAUGACAGUAUCCUCAUACAGGGAAAGGCUUUUUUUUUUUUUUCUUCCAAUUUAAAUUAAAAAAAAAAAAAUGGCUAACGCCAAAACUUUGUUAUGAUUUAUUUCUUGUUUCUGUUUCUUUGGUUCCUUUUACAACUAGUUUGCUGGCUCGACUUGUGACAGAUGAGUCAGGAUGUGGCUUUUGCGGGACAGACAGCCAACUUCCAUAUUCUCAUUCCUUUCUAAACAAUGGAGCCCUGCCUACCAAGGCAUCCCUCUCUAAUUUGCACACAUUGUUUUUUGGGUUUUAUUUUAUUUUAUUUUAUUAUUUUUUUGUAGCCCUGUAGCCUAGCCUGGUUUCCACAGAAGAUCCCUCAAACAAAAAUCCACACAGAACAUCAGUGCAAUCUGGGAGAACACCUAAACCCAAACCAAUGGAAAAUGGACCCCAGAGAGACAAGCUGAUCUCUGGGAAGAAUUUUAAAGGGAUGGAGAGGAAGAAGAGAGGAAAGGAGGAAAGACAGCCACCAAGACCCCCUCUAAAUACUGGACACUUGGGCUUCCAUCUAACCAAGGAGCUUCGCCUGCAUGUCUUGUCUGUGCACCACAUGUGUGCCCGGGACCCACAGAAGCCAGAAGAGGGGGUUGCAAGCCCCGGGAUGGAGUUACAGACUUGUGUGAGCUACCGUGUGCAUGCCGAGCAUCCUCUGAAAGAACAGCCAAUGGAAAUACACAGAACACAGACACAGACCAUGGACGGGGACAGACUGUUGCCAUUCCCCGGGCUGACGGCUGUAUGCCACUUUCUUGUUGCUGACCCGAGGGAGUAGGAGGGCUUUCCAGUUAGCCUCUUGAAAACACACAGAGAGCGAGCAAAGCCUUCCAUCCCUGUGGGAAGGCUUGGAAACCAAGCAACUGUGAGGAAACACAGACUCCAGCCAGUAACAAGCCAGGUCCUGAGAACACCUCUGGCUGACACGGGGUUACUCCGCCCCUCACUCGUCUGGUUACAUAAUUUCCUUGUUCCAUUCUUUUGAGACCCUUGACAAAGCCUUGCUUUCUGUUUGGCCCCUGCUUCUUCCUUGGCCUCACAUUAACAGAGGAGGAGCACUCACUACUUAGGACUAGCGAGAAGUCACAUUUGGUAAAGCGGUGGCUAGCUGGGGAGUCUCUGGGGAAGCAGGGAGGGGGAAGGGGGGUGUUGGGCACCCUGAGCCCAGCUAGUGAUAAAUGUACACGUGCAACCGGUACUUGCUGGAGCACAGCGCCCAAGAGGCAGCAAGAAAUAAACUAACAUGUUAAUGAAUUGGAACUAAGGGAGCUGGAAGCUUCCCGAAGGCUGGCAUCUUGACCACUCAGGCAGUGUCCCGUGAACAACCUUGGACUGAAGCAAAAUGCAGCAUGAGAACAAGCCCUGAGAUCCGUUACCGUAACAACCCGUUCUCCUCUCUUCACAUCCGUCCUUUGUUGAGUUCCUUUCCCCAGCUGCAGUCCAUGGCCGACAGCAACUUGAUACAGCCAUGUCUCUACACGCAGCAGACUUCACCCCACACUGCUCGUCUCCCUGAGCUCUCUCUGCCUCUAGGCAUCAGAAGGCCCUCUUGCCUUCAUCUGCAAGGCUGCUGGAGUGUACUCCCCUGCUUGACUGACUCCUACCUCUGGUACACAUGUAACUAUGACUUAUGCCCAGAAGCCUGCCGUCUGUCUCAGGGCUCGUCGGGUUUCUUUUUCUUAGGAUCUGUCUGUCGUCCAUCCCACUGAAAGCUGGUUCCUUUUUUUUUUUUCUUUUUCUUUUCUUUUCUUUUUCUUAAUUUUUUUUUUUUUUUUGGCCUAAUGAAUUUGGUGUUCCUUGAGCCUCAGUUUCUGCACCUGUAAAGGGGGAGAGUAGUAACACCCAUCCAUCCAUUACUGCAUGCCGCAUGAAGUGGCUGUGCCACUUAAUCUCAUCAGUUUGGUUGGAUUGAGCAGUGCCUACAUUAAUAUGGUAUAUCUCUACGGGGGUGUUUCCAGCGAGCAUUGAUUAAGGCAGGGAGAGACAUUCUGCGUGUACGUGACAUCAUCCCAUAGGCAGGGAUCUGUACCGAAUACGGUACAGGAAGGUCAAGCCUACUAGCUCAGGCUUUCUCUUCCUUUCUGGUUCCCCUCUGCUGGGAUGACUAACACUGUCCCAGCCACGAUGCACUGAGGCCUCAGGAACCAUAAGGCAAGAUAAACCUUUCCUCCUUUAAGGUGAUGUGCUCAGACAUGUGUGUGUGUGUAUGUGUGUGUGUGUGUACAUGUACAUUGAUUGAACUUGUGUGUGUGCAUGUGUACAUACAGGUUCAGGUAUGUGCAUGUCCACAUGGAGGCCACAGACAGACACUGAGUAUCUUUCCUUUAUUGUUAUCCAUACAUCUUAUCUAUCUAUCUAUCUAUCUAUCUAUCUAUCUAUCUAUCUAUCUACAGACAGAAUGGC
Molecule: long non-coding RNA, 5362 nt
Organism: Mus musculus (house mouse)
Lineage: Eukaryota; Metazoa; Chordata; Mammalia; Rodentia; Muridae
Product: predicted gene, 32827
Exons: 5
Source: RefSeq, a predicted model, not a curated record